GGGGGCAAAGGGGAAAGGAACAAAUAAGCAAAUUAAACUACUCACACAAGCAACACAUUGGAAGAAAGUAACCAAACAUGAUUGCAAAACAAGAGUUCAGUUCUUACUGUACCAAGCUCUAAUACACUUAGCCUCAAACAGAGGUUUAGGUUAACCAAGUAGCCAAACAGAAAUGGGUGCAUGGUAGUAAUACAAAAGUAAACAUUCUCUGAGACAGGGGAGGGGGGUAAGGGAGCAUGUUAAACUGAACCAAAUAGACUAGUAAUUAACAUGCUAGUGACAAAAAGAGCAACAAAACUAUAAGUAAAAGCACACAAGAAAUAUUAUGAAAUGCAAAAUUAAUAGAAACAUGUUGUUGUGGAAACUAUAUCUAAAGGGGUGACAUACCAGUUGCAAGUAAUAGACCACAAUAACAAUAGUGCACAGAGGAGAGCAAAGUGUGCAGAGAAUGAGAGCAGCAGUGUGAUAAUAGCAGUGCAGAGAAGCAAGCAACAGGAAAACACAAACAAAUACUGCAGUAGAAACCCAGUAGUGUAGUAGACAACCAAGCUUACUCAAUCUUGGCUUUUAGCCGAUUGAGUCUUCAAAUAAGAGAAUGAGAGGGUAUAGUAAUAGUAGAGAAAGUGAGAGAAGAGCGCAGAGAGUUUGAACUUGUGAGAGGUAUGCAAUGUGUAUUUUUGAAAGAAGAGAAAUUGUAUUCGUGUGUCUGUGUGUCAAGUGAGAAGAGAGUAGUAGUACUUAUAGCUUUCUGAAAAAUAAUAUAGAAUAGGGUAACAUGUACCUAAUUAUAGAACAGUACCAAUUUGAAUCAAUCACAUGAUCGUAAUUCAAAUUAAUUAGGGACUCAUGAUUCGAAUAGGAGUAUAUGCUACCAAGUAAGGAAAGAAUAAAUCUGAUGACUGAUUAUACCAUAACAAAAGCAGUAAGCAUAUAGGCUACCAAGUAAGGAAAGAAUAAAUCUGAUGACUGAAUAUACUAUAACAAAAGCAGUAAGCAUGCUGCAUGUAAUAGAGUCUAGGUACAAAUGCUUCAAGCAAGGAAAAAUAUAUGCGGGAUAGCCAAAAAUAUAUUUAAGUGCACAAUUAUGGUAACCAGCCCCAAACAUAGAGAGAAAUCUCAUAAGUAAGGAAUCAAUUUGAAAAAUCAGUGUAAGAACACCUACAAAUUAAGGAUUCAAAAAGAUGCUCAGAAUUAACAGAAUAUUCAGUAAAGAAAGGCAUUCGAUUUAUUUAUGCAAAACAAUCCAUAAACUAAAAACCCUAAGCAAGAUAAUUGAAUAAAACAGUGGGGGUCAGAACCCUGGAAGAGAUUUAAGACAUGGAACUCAGAAAACAAAAGGUUUCAAGCACAUAGCAUGGGGGUAAUCGCGUAAUACCCAAAAGAAACAGAAGCAUACUGAUUAAAAAGGUUCAGAAACCCUAGCAAGAAAAAAUUAAAGCAUGGACCCAGGUUAACAAGGACACCAAACAAACAAGUAAAACAACUAAACACAAAUGAACAUAUAGUACUCAAAAAGAGCAGAAGAAACGAUUUUGAAAAAGGGGGUCAGAAACCCUAAUUUGAAAGACUGGUAACCAUCUGAAGUUUGAAAUAACCGGAAACACUAAGUAAAAAUAGAGUAGAAAACAAAAUCAAACUGAGAGUUGUUUUAAAAGAGCAGAUAUUAA
This 1667-nucleotide long non-coding RNA is filed under the name Nicotiana benthamiana. RNAcentral's name for it is "long non-coding RNA (NBEN_LNC008392)". Lineage: Eukaryota; Viridiplantae; Streptophyta; Magnoliopsida; Solanales; Solanaceae. The record is from RNAcentral.